RNAcentral lists this ribosomal RNA (253 nucleotides) under uncultured bacterium. Its description in RNAcentral is "partial 16S ribosomal RNA". It matches the Rfam family "Bacterial small subunit ribosomal RNA", at positions 524 to 776 of the family's 1533-position model. The record is from RNAcentral.
UACGUAGGCAGCAAGCGUUGUUCGGAGUUACUGGGCGUAAAGGGUGUGUAGGCGGCCUGUUAAGUUCCGUGUGAAAUCUCCCGGCUCAACCGGGAGGGUGCGCGGAAAACUGGCGGGCUAGAGUGCGGGAUGGGAGAGUAGAAUUCCUGGUGUAGCGGUGAAAUGAGUAGAUAUCAGGAGGAAUACCGGUGGUGUAGACGGCUCUCUGGACCGCAACUGACGCUGAAACACGAAAGCGUGGGUAGCAAACAGG